Molecule: small RNA, 28 nt
Filed under: Bombyx mori (domestic silkworm)
Lineage: Eukaryota; Metazoa; Arthropoda; Insecta; Lepidoptera; Bombycidae
Description: ovarian small RNA-19160
Source: RNAcentral
UAAGAGAUUUGCCAUUGGUAGUUUUGGC